This 618-nucleotide long non-coding RNA is filed under the name Pan troglodytes (chimpanzee). RNAcentral describes it as "lincRNA". Lineage: Eukaryota; Metazoa; Chordata; Mammalia; Primates; Hominidae. The record is from RNAcentral.
ACAGUUUGCUGGACCUCACAGAGGUGACUGAUGCAGCAUCCCCCCGGGAGCCGGGUGAAAUCACAGACUCCAGCAGCAGCUUCUGAGAUGACUGUGGCUAACAAAUUUUUCCAGCAACACAGAGCUGAGAGGAUUGGGAUCUCAGAGAAUAAGGAGCCCUGCAUUCUUGGCUUCAUCUGCCUGGAGUGGAGUUUCCAUCAUGCUGAGCUGGAGGUGCACGGGGCCAGGGAAGGAGCAAGUCGUAGCUCAAAUGUCCCAGACUCUUACUAUUCUUAUUAAAAUUUAGUAGGUUUUCUUGAAUAAAUGUUUCUUCAUCUGCUGUAUGCCCUUAGGACAAUUCCCAGGAACAUACAUCUAUAUUGAUAUCAAUAUAAAUAUAAAUAGAUAAUUAUGUAUGUAUAACUUUAGCAGUUUUACUUGUUCUGCUGGAAAGAAGGUCUGGAAGGUUUGCAGAGCUGCUCAUGCCACCAUUCCAGAAGUUAUCCACCAGUUCAUUGCUUUUUGCUCAGUAGUAUUCCAUUGCAUGUCUAUGCCACAAUUUGUUUAUCCAUUCACCUGUUGAUGGACAUUUGAGCUGUUUCCUGUUUGAGGCUAUUACAAAUAAAGCUGCUUUACAAA